RNAcentral lists this transfer RNA (70 nucleotides) under Camelus dromedarius (Arabian camel). It matches the Rfam family "tRNA". Rfam says of the family: Transfer RNA (tRNA) molecules are approximately 80 nucleotides in length. Their secondary structure includes four short double-helical elements and three loops (D, anti-codon, and T loops). Lineage: Eukaryota; Metazoa; Chordata; Mammalia; Artiodactyla; Camelidae. The record is from Rfam by way of RNAcentral. RNAcentral also lists the same sequence under 1 other name.
GGGGACAGCUCAGCGGAAGGGCACGUGCUUGGCAUGCACGAGGUCCCGGGUUCAAUCCCCAGUGUCUCCA